RNAcentral lists this ribosomal RNA (325 nucleotides) under uncultured bacterium. Its description in RNAcentral is "bacterial SSU rRNA". It matches the Rfam family "Bacterial small subunit ribosomal RNA", at positions 28 to 334 of the family's 1533-position model. The record is from RNAcentral.
GAUGAACGCUGGCGGCGUGCCUAACACAUGCAAGUCGAGCGAAGCACUCUACUCGAUUUCUUCGGGAUGAAGGUUUAGUGACUGAGCGGCGACGGGUGAAGUAACGCGUGGUAACCUGCCUCAUACAGGGGGAUAACAGUUAGAAACGACUGCUAAUACCGCAUAAGCCCACGACCCGGCAUCGGGUUGAGGGAAAAGGAGCAAUCCGCUUUGAGAUGGCCUCGCGUCCGAUUAGCUAGUUGGUGAGGUAACGGCCCACCAAGGCAACGAUCGGUAGCCGGACUGAGAGGUUGAACGGCCACAUUGGGACUGAGACACGGCCCAG